Oncorhynchus masou masou (cherry salmon) is the source of this 474-nucleotide long non-coding RNA. RefSeq lists it as uncharacterized. The transcript is spliced from 3 exons. Lineage: Eukaryota; Metazoa; Chordata; Actinopteri; Salmoniformes; Salmonidae. The record is from RefSeq and is a predicted model, not a curated record.
AGAAGUCAAACCUCUGCAAUCAGGUCACUUACUAUUUGACUUAUGAAGGAAAGAGGAUAUAUAUUAUCUGUCAAUGACCUCCCAACACAUUCCAUGGUCUGACACACGAUGUAGAGGGAGGCGAAGGCUGACAGACUCUACUUGUGUGUUGGAUCUAGAGUAACCUCUUCGUUUUGCCAAGAAUGCAGUCGUAACUCAGAAUGCCUUUUUUGACUUAAUUUGCACACAGCAUGAGAGAGGCAUGUAACUGACAAUUAACCUUUCUCACGGAAGGUGAUAAUUGUGACUAAAACUACAGAAUAAAGCUGCCAGUUAAAGUCAAGGACCGGUUGAGCUCGUGGUUACUGGAGGAGGCUACAAGGCAUGCAAAUAUAACUAAUGGUCAAGAUGUUGAGAAUGGUGCUAAUCAAUAGUGAUCUAAAUAUUUACAUUAACCUUGAUUAGAAUGGUAACACAACGAUCAACUCUGUUGGA